Molecule: unclassified non-coding RNA, 18 nt
Filed under: Mus musculus (house mouse)
Lineage: Eukaryota; Metazoa; Chordata; Mammalia; Rodentia; Muridae
Description: oocyte_clustered_small_RNA30
Source: RNAcentral
UGCAGGAGGGCCUGGCUA